This is a long non-coding RNA of Triticum dicoccoides, 2209 nucleotides long. RefSeq lists it as uncharacterized. The record is from RefSeq and is a predicted model, not a curated record. Lineage: Eukaryota; Viridiplantae; Streptophyta; Magnoliopsida; Poales; Poaceae. The transcript has 4 exons.
CCGUCUGUCAGUGUACAAACCGAUAAAAAGAAGCUCGACAGAAGCCCAUCGCUCCAUCUCUUCGCAUCCCUUCCCUGUAUCAUGGCAGCAGCCAGGGCGGCGCGACGUCGUCAAUCAGCACUCAAUCACCACCGGGCGGUGACCGGCAACCCACAGCAGAUCCGUUGCAGGAUCGCACCACCUCCGGUCGACAAGGAUUGAGCUCCGCGGAUCCAGGCGCACCGGCCAGAUCCGUCGCCGAGGCGACGACCUCCACCACCGCCCCACUAACCUGCAUCCUCGACGCGCCCAACCCCGGCCACCUCGACGACUCCACCUCCUCAAGGACGACCUGCACCACCGUCCUACCACCCCAGAAUUGACGCUGCCGCCGCCUCUCGGCGACUUCCCCUACCGGCACUAAAUUUCGCCUUUAAACAGUGGAGCGGCGUCGCCCCCAUCGCCUCCAACAUCAGGUCGGUGUCUGCUCCUUUACUCUGAAAUCGUGCCAUGCUGGCCAGAUCUAUUCUCUUUGUGCUGAAGUUGGCUGGGGACUUUUCACGUGGCAAGUUUCGUUGGCUGUACUAUCAAAGAUAGAAUGAGUGGAUUUGGUGUCAUACCAGUCAUGUUUCGACACUGUACUGACAAAGUUUGAGUCUAUAUUGCCAUCUCAACAAUAAUACAUGGAUAACAUAUUAAAGCCAUCGCGCCACCCGCCGGAUUGCCGUGGAAACUCCUGUUAGGCAUCCUCUCCUGAAUCUGCAUAGUAUUUGCAAAUUACUCCUGUUAGAUGUGAACGCACAGGUACUCUUGGUUCAGUCUGUUUCUUAUGUGAGAUCUGAAGUCGCAAUUUCAGUUAGCUUGGAACUAAAAAUUCAGUUAUCAUGAACCAUAUAUUCAAGUAGAGCAAAAGGUUCUUCUCCUCUAUGAUUUUCUUGGAUGAUUUCCUAAUUAAGACACCGCUGAUUACUUCAAUCCGUUAUGUCUUGAGUAAGCAAGCUGGUCUAACACUAAUGUGCCACUUUACUUGACUUUCUUUUCAUCUAUUUUUCAUCAUGGACUAGGUUUUUCUUACGGGUUAAUCUGGAAUUCGUUUUUGUAUCAGCUGGAGUGGAGACGACAAAUGGAAGAAUCACAGAGUGAAGGAAAACUGAGAGCACUAUGAUGUUCACUGAACUUCAGAUGACCGUUUUAUUAAAAGAAAAUUUUCGUUUAUUGCAACCAGGGCAGCGCUACAGAGGUACAAGCUUAGUACUAAACUGUUGUUAUGCAUCUGCAUGAUUGUAUAUGUAUCUCUUAAUGUAUGAGGAAGCUCUUCGAUCUAAAAAUGGCUUCAGAGGGUACUUCCAGCAUUUUGAAAUAUUCCACAGGAUAUAUGAAGACAAGCCUAUCCUAGCCAAUCGAUUCUCCGUAAUAAUUUACACUUGCUUUCAUGACUAUCUUCACUUGUGGCCUUCCGCAUCGUUCAACAUUUAAUUUUGAUCUCUGAUGCUUGCACGAGAUGCAAAAUUCUAGGAGCACAGCAUGGAUUUCAAAUUGCUUUUCAGAUGCAUGGGACCGUGUCCAUGGCAUCAUAUGUCACAGGGCAACAAACAGCACAAGACAUCUUAUGAGUGGACAUUCGUGAUGGCGUCUUAAGAGACUAGCGAUGUCUGUGUUACCUGCUUCCCUCUGCGAUGAUCCCAUCCAGCAGGCAGGCGGGACUAGCAUGGACCGGGCGAGUGGCAGCGGCGACCGGGAAGGCUGGGUGAUCAACUCAGUUGAGCUAGGAUACAAUUAGAUAGCCACAGCCCACAGGGACAAUUUAGUCCUUUCACGAGCCUACUUAUGUGAGAAGAAAAAAAAUGAAUAAAAGAGGUGCUAAUGGCAUAGUAAUCAAGGUGUCAACGAUCUAAGUGGCCAUUUUAUGGAGUCAAUAUGCAAAGUGGCAAUUUCUCAAAGCCACAUGAAGGAGGUGCCAAAAAUCCAAAUACUACAACUUCAUACAGUCUAGGCCCCUGGCACUUUCUGCUAAGAGAAAAUAUUAGCAACAAUCAGUUUGCAUAAUAUUGAUGUGCUCAUUUAUCAUGGAUGGUUAUCAAAUGCAUUUCACAGAGGUUAAUGUGCCUGGAAGUAUGUAAUAAAGUUAGCUUAUGUGUGAUCACUUACCAAAUUUUAGCUUAUGUGUGAUCACUCUUACCAAAUUUCUGGUAAAAUAUCUAAUGGAACGCAUAAUAUUAUAUCAUGUUCC